CAAAGUGCUGGAAUUACAGGCAUGAGCCACCAUUCCUGGCUGGACUACAUCUUUUAUAAAUAUUUUCCUAUUAUCCUUAUUAACAGUAUUAUUCAAGUAGUUACGGUUAAAUAUUUAAAGAUGCCUGAACUACUUAGUGUUUUUUCUUUUUCUUUUUUUUUUUUUUUAAAGACCUAAUUCACAUGAAAAAGGAAAAACUGGUGCAAAAAAUGAAUUUUAGAGUGAAACCGUUCUGACUGGGCAAAGAAGUCUAUUUCUAAUGUGGGGGGUAUGGGCUGAAUGGUGUCCUUCCAAAAUUCAUAUGUUGAAGCCCUAACCCCCAGUACCUUAGUAUGUGCCUAUGAUUGGAGAUGGGGUCUUUAAAGAGGUAAUGAAAUUAAAGUGAGGUCAUUAGGUUGGGUCUUAAUCCAAUAGACUAGUGUCCUUAGAAGAGGAGGAAGAGACACUGGGAGGGUGUGUGCACAGAGACAAGGCUGUGUGAGGACACAGGGAGUAGACAGCCAUCUGCAUGCCAAGGAAGGGCUUCCAGAAGAAACCACCCUUGCCAACGCCUCAUCUCAGAUGUCCAGCCUCCAGGACUGUGAGACAAGAAGUUCCUAUUAAGUCAGUUGGUCUGUGGUACUUGGUUAAGGCAGUCAGAGCAAACUGCUACAGUAGUUGGGAAAACUGCGUGUGUGUGCGCACAUGUGUGUGUGCGCGCACAUGUGUGUGUGCGCACGCUCUCAUCUUGGUGCACCUGUACCAGCAUCUGAAUGCUUGAGUUGGUCAUGGCACACUGGGCCCCAGGUGUCCAGAGACAGAUGUCCAGGUGCAGCGUCAGAUGGGCCGUUCAGGUUCCACGGGUCCGUCUCUCCUACGAUGGCCAGUUUGUUUGGAGGAUCACAUCGGAUGAAUGGAAGGAAGUGGUCGCUGGCCUCAUGGCCAUGGCACUGUUCAACCUAUAAAAUAUAAAUGCAGAAGUCAGGAGCACAGAAACAGGCUCUGCUAAAGUGGAGGGCCUGCCUUUCAUUGCCUUUCGGUUCCAGGGAGACCUGGGGGAAAGCCUUCCACCUGGACGGGAAGGUCUGGGUAUGGAUACCACAUCUCUGCCUUGACCUUCAAUCGCUGCAUCUCAUCUCUGAUCACUUUUCUUCAUAGUUUUGGUCUUUGGUUACAACAUUCGUGCGAUUAAGUGAUAACUGAAUCAUUCCUAACUGCUGUAGAUUGAAGGACGCAGCAAUCACCUUCCUCUCCGAGAGCACAGGCAAAUGUUUCUGGGUCAUGUAGUCAGGAGGUUGUUUAAAAAAGCCAAGGUAGUACCGUGUGAUGUUUAUUGUAUGAUCUCUGGAGUCAGACCACUGGGUUUUAACUCCUGUCUCCUCAGUUUGCUUGAUAUCACUUAGCAAAUUUAUCAGCUUUCCUGACCCUCAGUUUCAUCAUCUAUAAAAUGGUUUAAUAGUCAUUUUUUAUCAUGGGGUAUUGAGAAGAUUAAUGAGGUGAUUCAUUGUUUGUGUCACAUUGCCUGACACAUAGUAAGUGCCUGAUAAAUGUGAGCACCUAUUAUUACGUUAUUAACCAUCCCAUCAAACUGUACUUUAGGAAUUAUGGUGGCUAGGACAUGGAAUUCCAACAAUUCCAGACCAUUUAGCUCCACUUAAAUUUGUGUCAGAAAUAUGGUAAAUUUAAUGAAGCUGGCUCAUCGUUAAAAUGCAAAGCUGUUCUGAGUCUGAAAAGAGGCAAUGCGUGGGAAGUAUUUAAUAGGGGCCUAGAAUUUUCUAAGUGAUCAAUAAAUGGUGAUGAUAAAAUGUGCAGAGUCAGGAUGGGCAUGAUCUUGGUUUCGGUUCAGCUCUUCCACUAAGUAGCUUUGUGACCUAAGGGAAGUCUCAAGUUCCUCAAGCCUCUCUCUCCUCAUUGGUAAAGUAUCAACAAUAGUAGAACCUACUCUUAGGUUUGUGGUGAGGCUCAAAUGUGCUUUGUGGGGCUUUGUGCCACUUUGUGUUGUGGUGGUGGUGGCGGCUUUUCCCUGAUAUAGCUCUCUAGGAUAUGUAAUGGUAAAGGAGGAAUAAGGGCUUUUCAAAAUGGAGCUCUGAGCGGCUGUGGGAACAAUCUAUGUGGUACAUCUGUGGCCCCGCUGGCUGCCAGGUGUCUGGAGACCUGUGUGCCAUCUCUCCCCGUCAUGCCAUGUGCCUCCCUCCUGAGGCUGUGGGCUGCAUCCAAGAGAAUGACCUUCCUUGACAGAGGAGAGCAGCUCUCCAGGAAAAGGAAUGGGAGGAACUUCCUUCUGCUCGAACCCGCAACUACAGGUUUAAAAUGCUGUGUGUGUGCACGUGUGUGUGUGCACGUGUGUGUGUGCAUGUGUGUGUGUGCACGUGUGUGUGUGCAUGCGUGUGUGUGUACGUCUUUAGUUAGUGAGACCACUGUAGGUGGUGUCAGGUGGUGUUUAGAAGGCACGGCGCUGACUGGAAAGGGUGGCAACAGACAUGAUAACUAUCCAGGGUGCUGAGGCUUAUGCAGUUUGCAAAAUGCAGACAAACCAGUAUACGCCAUGUUUUUAAAGUUACAUUUAGGUCAAGGAGAAAAAUAGAAAAGCCUCACUUAGGCUUCUGAUGAAACGGGGAAAAGAAGAAAGCAAGUGUUUUUGACUACCCGCUUAGUGCCAAGCACUGUGGCUGGCACUUUCCAAGAAAUUCUUCCAUUCAGAUAAAAAGAGAGAGCACUCAACUGCUUUUUCCUCCUGUUGUCUUGAUCAAGGAGAAAGCUGUUUACAGUAAAAAUGUAUUUGCAAGAGAAUUUUAAGAUAAUUUCCAAGAAAAGCUAGGAAACAGUAAACUCCAAAUCAGUUGGUUUCCUGAUCCAGAUUAAUCAUUUCCUAGGAUUUUUCCCAAAUUAUUAGUAGACAUUGCUGGACCAUUGUCAUUAGCCAUUGAGGAGCUGCAGAGAAAGAAGGAGAGGUAAUAGAAGGCAGAGAUCUGAAUUCUACUAGCUGUACAUUGGUGUUUCUGAUCUCAGUCCCAGGUGACAUCCUAGACUGAUAGUCAAGUAAAUGUUCUGUGAGAAAGGGAGGUGGUAACCACCAGAGGCCACCAUAGGUUCCCUGGGGCAGGCAUGGCGGGUGACCUCAUGGGUUUGUAAAUAGCAUCACUAUGCUAGAGGCAUUAGUGGAAUGUCAUAGAUAUGGGAUAUACAAAUUUAUGUGUGGUGUAUUUGAUAAAGUCUCUCUUGGUAUCCUUAUAGAAAGUAAGGUGUGAAAUGCAGGAAAACAUACAAUGGAUGAUGGUUCAUUGAUGUGGAGACAAAAUUAGCUCAGUGGCUGAUUCCUGAAAAUAUUGGUUGGUGAUUUGAGAGUAGAGAUCACCCUUGAGGAACACCUGCCUUACCUGUUUUGGGCUCAAUAUUUUGUUUCAGUGUCUUGAAUAAGGACCCUAGAUAAUAGGCUUACAAAAUUUGUGGAAAAUGUAGAGUUACUUAAAUGUUAGUUGGCAGAACAUUGGGGUUGCGGUUGGAGGCCGGGGAUGCCGACGGGAAGGAUCCAGUUAAGAGGGAAGCAACCCAGAGAUGUGGACACAUCAGUGCUGAGGCCCCUCAACAUCCACCCAGAGAUGUAGACACAUCAGUGCUGAGGCCCCUCAACAUCCACCCAGAGUGUGGACACAUCCGUGCUGAGGCCCCUCAACAUCCACCCAGAGUGUGGACACAUCCGUGCUGAGGCCCCUCAACAUCCACCCAGAGUGUGGACACAUCCGUGCUGAGGCCCCUCAACAUCCACCCAGAGAUGUGGACACAUCAGUGCUGAGGCCCCUCAACAUCGACCCAGAGUGUGGACACAUCAGUGCUGAGGCCCUUCAACAUCGACCCAGAGUGUGGACACAUCAGUGCUGAGGCCCCUCAACAUCAACCCAGAGUGUGGACACAUCCGUGCUGAGGCCCCUCAAUGUCAACCCAGAGAUGUGGACACAUCAGUGCUGAGGCCCCUCAAUGUCAACCCAGAGGUGUGGACACAUCAGUGCUGAGGCCCCUCAACAUCAACCCAGAGUGUGGACACAUCCGUGUUGAGGCCCCUCAACAUCAACCCAGAGUGUGGACACAUCCGUUCUGAGGCCCCUCAACAUCAACCCAGAGUGUGGACACAUCAGUGCUGAGGCCCCUCAACAUCAACCCAGAGUGUGGACACAUCCGUGCUGAGGCCCCUCAACAUCAACCCAGAGUGUGGACACAUCAGUGGUGAGGCCCCUCCAUGUCAACCCAGAGGUGUGGACACAUCAGUGCUGAGGCCCCUCCAUGUCAACCCAGAGGUGUGGACACAUCAGUGCUGAGGCCCCUCAACAUCAACCGCUUGCUGAUUUGAAGUGAAAAAUGGGUUCCUCAGUAAGGACAGAAUUACAGUGUUUCCUUUGCAAAAGAUGAGUGUUAAAAGGGAACAUGCACAAAGAUGAUGGCUUAUAUGGGAUGAAUAAAGACUUAUCAAACUCUGGCUGGCCAUGGUGGCUCACGCCUGUAAUCCCAGCAGUUUGGGAGGCCGAGGUGAGGGGAUCACUUGAGGCCAGGA
Long non-coding RNA from Cercocebus atys (sooty mangabey), 4525 nucleotides. RefSeq lists it as uncharacterized. The record is from RefSeq and is a predicted model, not a curated record. The transcript has 4 exons. NCBI's taxonomy places the organism in Eukaryota, Metazoa, Chordata, Mammalia, Primates, Cercopithecidae.